RNAcentral lists this ribosomal RNA (253 nucleotides) under uncultured bacterium. RNAcentral's name for it is "partial 16S ribosomal RNA". It matches the Rfam family "Bacterial small subunit ribosomal RNA", at positions 524 to 776 of the family's 1533-position model. The record is from RNAcentral.
UACGAAGGGGGCUAGCAUUGCUCGGAAUUACUGGGCGUAAAGGGCGCGUAGGCGGAUAUUUAAGUCAGGGGUGAAAGCCCGGGGCUCAACCUCGGAAUUGCCUUUGAUACUGGAUAUCUUGAGUUCGGGAGAGGUGAGUGGAAUACCGAGUGUAGAGGUGAAAUUCGUAGAUAUUCGGCGGAACACCAGUGGCGAAGGCGACUCACUGGCCCGAUACUGACGCUGAGGCGCGAAAGCGUGGGGAGCAAACAGG